AAAUCAAGUCUCAAUGGCAAGAGCAAAAUUGGAUUCAUCGUAAAACUGCAUUUAGUCACUAGUCUGACUAGUUAUAUCAUGAAGUGGUAGUUUCAAAUGAAUAUACAAGACUGCACACCAAAAACGAUAACUAUACAAAUUUCAAUGCACACUUUGUACAAUGAGAAGCAAAAGUAGAGCAUUUGCUGCUACCUUGGCAUUCCAUAAAGAAUUUACGGCACCUCAAGAUCCUAGAUGGGAAAAAAAUGAAGAUGACAAAAUCAAGUCACAAAGAUUCGCUCUCCUUCCCAGCUUUUCAUGAGAAUUUUGGAUCUACAGGCAGAGUCGAG
RNAcentral lists this unclassified non-coding RNA (329 nucleotides) under Hevea brasiliensis (rubber tree). Lineage: Eukaryota; Viridiplantae; Streptophyta; Magnoliopsida; Malpighiales; Euphorbiaceae. The record is from RNAcentral.